This 253-nucleotide ribosomal RNA is filed under the name uncultured bacterium. Its description in RNAcentral is "partial 16S ribosomal RNA". It matches the Rfam family "Bacterial small subunit ribosomal RNA", at positions 524 to 776 of the family's 1533-position model. The record is from RNAcentral.
UACAGAGGUCCCGAGCGUUGUUCGGAUUCACUGGGCGUAAAGGGUGCGUAGGUGGUUGGGUAAGUCUGAUGUGAAAUCUCCGGGCUCAACCCGGAAAUGGCAUUGGAUACUAUUCGGCUAGAGGUUUGGAGGGGGGACUGGAAUUCUCGGUGUAGCAGUGAAAUGCGUAGAUAUCGAGAGGAACACCUGCGGCGAAGGCGGGUUGCUGGGCUGACACUGACGCUGAAGCGCGAAAGCUAGGGGAGCGAACGGG